Molecule: long non-coding RNA, 1433 nt
Filed under: Marmota monax (woodchuck)
Lineage: Eukaryota; Metazoa; Chordata; Mammalia; Rodentia; Sciuridae
Source: RNAcentral
GUGACAGCCAUCCCGGAGGGAGAGGAAGGCACAAAGCUGCCUGGUACAUGCGGGAGGCAAGAGGCUUGGGGCAGAGAGCACCGCACCACCGAGGCUGGGCCCAGGGGCUGGCUCCGCUCCCUCCAGAGGUGAGCAGGGGGAGCCGGUGCAGAGGACCUGGGGGCAAGAUGGCAGUGGGGUCCAGAUGCUGCAGGAUCCCAUGGGAGCCAGGUGGAACAUCAGGCAGGUGGGGCAGUGGCUGGGGCUGAGCUGGUGGCCACAGGGAGAGAUGGGUAUGCUGCAUGUGGGGAGUUGGGUCUGAGUGGGCAGAGGCUGUGGUGCCCAGGCAUAGGGUGGCUCUCAGGGACUGCCACCCAAACCAUGGCCUGAGAUGGUGGUCGAGCCGGGGUUGGACCCUGGGAGCUAGGGUGGGCGAAACCCAGGAGCCCCGAAGCAGGCCCAGGGCCAGGGUGGGUGCAGAGGCUGGGCUGCCGCUGGGUGCUGCUGCUGCCCGCGGCAGGUUGAGUAAUGGCUCUGAGUCACACCUGUGCGUGGGCCGACGCCACCUGUCCUGGAGCUGCAGCAGAGAUCAAACUAGGUGAUGUAUUUAUGGCUCUUGACACAGCCUGGCACGGAGUAAAUGGUCAUAAGGGACGGUUUUGUCCUGCGUCUGCAGUGGGCCUCCAGCUGUGCUAGCGAGUUGUGGCCAGGUCCCAGCUGUGUGCAACCAGGAUCAGGCCCGGAAUGUGACUGAGAUGAAGGCUCAGCACGUGACUUGAGUUCAGGGAUCAGGGUGUGACCUGGGGAAGCUCAGGAUAUGACAGAGUUCAGGGUUUAGUAUGUAGCUGGAGUUGGGUCAGCCUUGUGAGCAAUAGGGAGCCACAGAUGGUGUGGGAGCCACAACAGGGAAGAUGUCACUGCAGGGUGGAAGUCAGUCUCAGGGACGCGAGGCGUAUAGAGGACUUGGGAGAAGAUGAGGGGCAGGGAGCUCAUGUGGUGGAAACGGCAGUAACCAAGCACACAAGAAGAGCCAUGGGCAUUUGGGGUGACCAGGACCCUGGAGAGGUCAAAGGUGGUGAUGGGGUGGACCCAGGAGGUGGGUUCAGACGCAGUGUUCAGGGAGGGCCUCUGUGAGGAGGUGACUUCGCUGAGAAGGGCCAGCCACGUGAAGGUCAGGGGAAGAGCACGAGGCAGCAGAGCAGCCUGUGCAAAGGCCCCAGGGCAGUGCUGAGCCUGGCGGAGGAGCUGGCCUCCAGUGGGGGGCCUGGUAGUGUGCCUGCUCUGUGGGAGUUGGGGCCAGUCCCUCAGCCGUGAGGUCUCAGCCGGCCCUCCUGAUGAGGCUGGAGGUCCCCAGCACCCUUGGUCCUGGGGCUGUGGCCUCUCCCUGUGCCAUAGCACCCAGCGCUGGGCAAGGCUGUCAGGAGUGACCGAUGCUGGGCGGGGAGGGGCAGGUG